This 292-nucleotide ribosomal RNA is filed under the name uncultured bacterium. Its description in RNAcentral is "partial 16S ribosomal RNA". It matches the Rfam family "Bacterial small subunit ribosomal RNA", at positions 505 to 796 of the family's 1533-position model. The record is from RNAcentral.
GUUUCAGCCGCCGCGGUAAAACGUAGGAGGCAAGCGUUAUCCGGAUUCACUGGGCGUAAAGCGCGUGCAGGCGGUUUGGUAAGUUGGGCGUGAAAUCUCCCGGCUCAACUGGGAGGGGUCGUUCAAUACUACCAGACUCGAGAGCGAUAGAGGAAAAUGGAAUUCCCGGUGUAGUGGUGAAAUGCGUAGAUAUCGGGAGGAACACCAGUGGCGAAAGCGAUUUUCUGGAUCGUUUCUGACGCUCAGACGCGAAAGCUAGGGUAGCAAACGGGAUUAGAAACCCUAGUAGUCC